Molecule: ribosomal RNA, 202 nt
Filed under: uncultured bacterium
Lineage: Bacteria
Description: partial 16S ribosomal RNA
Rfam family: Bacterial small subunit ribosomal RNA
Source: RNAcentral
GACGGAGGAUGCAAGCGUUAUCCGGAAUGAUUUUGGGCGUAAGCGUCCGCAGGUGGCUGUGUAAGUCUGCUGUUAAAAGAGUCUAGCUCAACUAGAUAAAAAGCAGUGGAAACUACACGGCUAGAGUACGUUCGGGGCAGAGGGAAUUCCUGGUGUAGCGGUGAAAUGCGUAGAGAUCAGGAAGAACACCCGGUGGCCGAAG